AAGACGGUCUUCGGAUUGUAAAGCCCUUUCAGUUGGGACGAAGCUUCGACGGUUAAUAGCCGGCGGGAGUGACGGUACCUUCAGAAGAAGCCCGGCUAACUACGUGC
Molecule: ribosomal RNA, 107 nt
Filed under: uncultured bacterium
Lineage: Bacteria
Description: partial 16S ribosomal RNA
Source: RNAcentral